RNAcentral lists this ribosomal RNA (262 nucleotides) under uncultured bacterium. RNAcentral's name for it is "partial 16S ribosomal RNA". It matches the Rfam family "Bacterial small subunit ribosomal RNA", at positions 524 to 776 of the family's 1533-position model. The record is from RNAcentral.
GACAGAGGGUGCAAACGUUGCUCGGAAUUACUGGGCGUAAAGGGCGUGUAGGCGGGAAGGCAAGUCGGGCGUGAAAUCCCCAGGCUCAACCUGGGAACUGCACUCGAAAACUGCCUUUCUUGAGUGUCGGAGAGGAAAGCGGAAUUCCUGGUGUAGAGGUGAAAUUCGUAGAUAUCAGGAGGAACACCAGUGGCGAAAGGGCGGCUUUUCUGGGACGAUAAACUGACGCUGAGACGCGAAAAGCGUGGGGGAGCAAAACAGG